GUUUGAUCAUGGCUCAGAUUGAACGCUGGCGGCAUGCCUUACACAUGCAAGUCGAACGGCAGCACGGGAGCAAUCCUGGUGGCGAGUGGCGAACGGGUGAGUAAUAUAUCGGAACGUGCCCAGUCGUGGGGGAUAACGCAGCGAAAGCUGUGCUAAUACCGCAUACGAUCUAUGGAUGAAAGCGGGGGACUCGCAAGAGCCUCGCGCGAUUGGAGCGGCCGAUAUCAGAUUAGCUAGUUGGCGGGGUAAAAGCCCACCAAGGCGACGAUCUGUAGCUGGUCUGAGAGGACGACCAGCCACACUGGAACUGAGACACGGUCCAGACUCCUACGGGAGGCAGCAGUGGGGAAUUUUGGACAAUGGGCGAAAGCCUGAUCCAGCAAUGCCGCGUGCAGGAUGAAGGCCUUCGGGUUGUAAACUGCUUUUGUACGGAACGAAACGGUCUGUCCUAAUACGAUGGGCUAAUGACGGUACCGUAAGAAUAAGCACCGGCUAACUACGUGCCAGCAGCCGCGGUAAUACGUAGGGUGCGAGCGUUAAUCGGAAUUACUGGGCGUAAAGCGUGCGCAGGCGGUUAUGUAAGACAGAUGUGAAAUCCCCGGGCUCAACCUGGGACCUGCAUUUGUGACUGCAUAGCUAGAGUACGGUAGAGGGGGAUGGAAUUCCGCGUGUAGCAGUGAAAUGCGUAGAUAUGCGGAGGAACACCGAUGGCGAAGGCAAUCCCCUGGACCUGUACUGACGCUCAUGCACGAAAGCGUGGGGAGCAAACAGGAUUAGAUACCCUGGUAGUCCACGCCCUAAACGAUGUCAACUGGUUGUUGGGUCUUCACUGACUCAGUAACGAAGCUAACGCGUGAAGUUGA
This 863-nucleotide ribosomal RNA is filed under the name uncultured beta proteobacterium. RNAcentral describes it as "bacterial SSU rRNA". It matches the Rfam family "Bacterial small subunit ribosomal RNA", at positions 11 to 868 of the family's 1533-position model. The record is from RNAcentral. Lineage: Bacteria; Pseudomonadati; Pseudomonadota; Betaproteobacteria.